GACGAACGCUGGCGGCGUGCUUAACACAUGCAAGUCGAACGGAAAGGCCCUGCUUUUGUUGGGUGCUCGAGUGGCGAACGGGUGAGUAACACGUGAGUAACCUGCCCUUGACUUUGGGAUAACUUCAGGAAACUGGGGCUAAUACCGGAUAGGAGCUCCUGCUGCAUGGUGGGGGUUGGAAAGUUUCGGCGGUUGGGGAUGGACUCGCGGCUUAUCAGCUUGUUGGUGGGGUAGUGGCUUACCAAGGCUUUGACGGGUAGCCGGCCUGAGAGGGUGACCGGCCACAUUGGGACUGAGAUACGGCGCAGACUCCUACGGGAGGCAGCAGUGGGGAAUAUUGCAGAAUGGGCGGAAGCCUGAUGCAGCAACGCCGCGUGCGGGAUGACGGCCUUCGGGUUGUAAACCGCUUUCGCCUGUGACGAAGCGUGAGUGACGGUAAUGGGUAAAGAAGCACCGGCUAACUACGUG
RNAcentral lists this ribosomal RNA (468 nucleotides) under uncultured bacterium. RNAcentral describes it as "partial 16S ribosomal RNA". It matches the Rfam family "Bacterial small subunit ribosomal RNA", at positions 28 to 507 of the family's 1533-position model. The record is from RNAcentral.